This 443-nucleotide ribosomal RNA is filed under the name uncultured bacterium. RNAcentral describes it as "partial 16S ribosomal RNA". It matches the Rfam family "Bacterial small subunit ribosomal RNA", at positions 338 to 795 of the family's 1533-position model. The record is from RNAcentral.
CCUACGGGUGGCAGCAGUGGGGAAUAUUGGACAAUGGGCGAAACCCUGAUCCAGCAACGCCGCGUGAAGGAAGAAGGCUUUCGGGUUGUAAACUUCUUUUCUCAGGGACGAAGCCGGUGCCGGUACCUGAGGAAUCAGCCACGUCUAACUACGUACCAGCAGCCGCGGUACUACGGAGGUGGCAAGCGUUAUCCGGAUUUACUGGUUGUAAAGGGAGAGUAGGCGGGAAAGCACGUCAGAUGUGAAAUGCAGGGGCGCAACCGGUGGACUGCAGUUGCAACUGGUUUGCUUGAGUACUGGAGAGGCAGACGGAAUUCCUAGUGUAGCGGUGAAAUGCGUAGAUAUUAGGAGGAACACCAGUGGCGAAGGCGGUCUGCUGGACAGCAACUGACGUUGAGGCGCGAAAGCGUGGGGAGCAAACAGGAUUAGAUACCCGAGUAGUC